Molecule: ribosomal RNA, 463 nt
Filed under: Vreelandella stevensii
Lineage: Bacteria; Pseudomonadati; Pseudomonadota; Gammaproteobacteria; Oceanospirillales; Halomonadaceae
Description: partial 16S ribosomal RNA
Rfam family: Bacterial small subunit ribosomal RNA
Source: RNAcentral
CCCGGGAGGCAGCAGUGGGGAAUAUUGGACAAUGGGGGCAACCCUGAUCCAGCCAUGCCGCGUGUGUGAAGAAGGCCCUCGGGUUGUAAAGCACUUUCAGUGAGGAAGAACGCCUGGUGGUUAAUACCCAUCAGGAAAGACAUCACUCACAGAAGAAGCACCGGCUAACUCCGUGCCAGCAGCCGCGGUAAUACGGAGGGUGCGAGCGUUAAUCGGAAUUACUGGGCGUAAAGCGCGCGUAGGUGGCUUGAUAAGCCGGUUGUGAAAGCCCCGGGCUCAACCUGGGAACGGCAUCCGGAACUGUCAAGCUAGAGUGCAGGAGAGGAAGGUAGAAUUCCCGGUGUAGCGGUGAAAUGCGUAGAGAUCGGGAGGAAUACCAGUGGCGAAGGCGGCCUUCUGGACUGACACUGACACUGAGGUGCGAAAGCGUGGGUAGCAAACAGGAUUAGAUACCCCAGUAGUC